UAGUUACUCCCUCCGUUCCGAAUUAUUCGUCAUAGAAAUGAAUGUAUCUAGAUGUAUUUUAGUUAUAGAUACAUUCACUUUUGCGACGAGUAAUUUGAAACGAAGGAAGUGGAUA
Molecule: non-coding RNA, 115 nt
Organism: Triticum urartu
Lineage: Eukaryota; Viridiplantae; Streptophyta; Magnoliopsida; Poales; Poaceae
Source: Rfam